Molecule: ribosomal RNA, 499 nt
Filed under: uncultured bacterium
Lineage: Bacteria
Description: partial 16S ribosomal RNA
Rfam family: Bacterial small subunit ribosomal RNA
Source: RNAcentral
ACUCAAAUGAAUAGACGGGGACCCGCACAAGCGGUGGAUGAUGUGGAUUAAUUCGAUGCAACGCGAAAAACCUUACCUACCCUUGACAUGGUUCGAAUCUUUCAGAGAUGAGAGAGUGCUCGCAAGAGAACGGAUACACAGGUGCUGCAUGGCUGUCGUCAGCUCGUGUCGUGAGAUGUUGGGUUAAGUCCCGCAACGAGCGCAACCCUUGUCAUUAAUUGCCAUCAUUCAGUUGGGCACUUUAAUGAGACUGCCGGUGACAAACCGGAGGAAGGUGGGGAUGACGUCAAGUCCUCAUGGCCCUUAUGGGUAGGGCUUCACACGUCAUACAAUGGUGCAUACAGAGGGUUGCCAAGCCGCGAGGUGGAGCUAAUCUCAGAAAGUGCAUCGUAGUCCGGAUUGGAGUCUGCAACUCGACUCCAUGAAGUUGGAAUCGCUAGUAAUCGCGGAUCAGCAUGUCGCGGUGAAUACGUUCCCGGGUCUUGUACACACCGCCCGU